Molecule: ribosomal RNA, 465 nt
Filed under: uncultured bacterium
Lineage: Bacteria
Description: partial 16S ribosomal RNA
Rfam family: Bacterial small subunit ribosomal RNA
Source: RNAcentral
CCUACGGGGCGCUGCAGUGGGGAAUAUUGCGCAAUGGGCGAAAGCCUGACGCAGCGACGCCGCGUGAGGGAUGAAGGUCUUAGGAACGGACACCUCUGUCAGCAGGGAAGAACGGUCACUGUGCUAAUCAGCAGUGAAUUGAAGGUACCUGCAACGGAAGCAACGGCUAACUCCGUGCCAGCAGCCGCGGUAAUACGGAGGGUGCGAGCGUGAAUCGGAAGUAAGGGGCGUAAAUCGCGCGUAGGCGGUAUGUCAAGUCAAGGGGGAAAUCCCCGCGCUCAACGUGGGAACUGCCUUUGAAACUGGCAAACUGGAGUGUGUGAGCGGAUAGUGGAAUUCCAGGUGGAGGAGUGAAAUCCGUAGAUAUCUGGAGGAACAUCAGUGGCGAAGGCGACUAUCUGGCACAUAACUGACGCUGAGGAGCGAAAGCGUGGGUAGCAAACAGGAUUAGAUACCCCAGUAGUC